AAUCGGAAACAAAAUAACCAGCCAUCUAGUGACAAUUUUUAUUUCUACAACCUAGUAACCAAAUAAUUCAUAACCACAAUUCUCUCAUCUCCACUAAAAUAUUAUUUAUUUAUAAAAGCUGAGUUUAUUCAACAUCAAAAAUGAUUACGCGACCAUUUGUUUAUCCCGCAGUGGCACUGGGUAUCGCACUAAUUAUUUGGAGAUAUAAUGACUCAAGGAAACCAGAAUGGUGGCAAGUUGCACUUGAACCAGAAAAAUACAGCAAGGAAACCAAGUCAUGAAGCAAACCUCUGCAUUUAUUUCUAUCAUAGUUUAAUUAUCCAUUGAAAUAAAUUGUUAUCAUUCAAAAAUAUGAAUCAAUAAAAAAAAUUACAUAAUAA
Microplitis demolitor is the source of this 380-nucleotide long non-coding RNA. RefSeq lists it as uncharacterized. The record is from RefSeq and is a predicted model, not a curated record. The transcript is spliced from 3 exons. NCBI's taxonomy places the organism in Eukaryota, Metazoa, Arthropoda, Insecta, Hymenoptera, Braconidae.